This 108-nucleotide small RNA is filed under the name Hyphomicrobiales bacterium. RNAcentral's name for it is "Atu_C6". It matches the Rfam family "EcpR1". Rfam says of the family: Perviously named SmelC291, SmrC10, or Sra33. Lineage: Bacteria; Pseudomonadati; Pseudomonadota; Alphaproteobacteria; Hyphomicrobiales. The record is from RNAcentral.
ACGCCCCUCGGGAGCUCAGGUCCGCCGCAUCUCCUGGGAAACCGAAGGGCUAGGCUGGUCGGUGACGGAACUCUGGCCUCCUCAGAGCCGUCGCCGGCCGGCCACCUC